GACGAACGCUGGCGGCGUGCUUAACACAUGCAAGUCGAACGGAAAGGCCCUGCUUUUGUGGGGUGCUCGAGUGGCGAACGGGUGAGUAACACGUGAGUAUCCUGCCCUUGACUUUGGGAUAACUUCAGGAAACUGGGGCUAAUACCGGAUAGGAGCUCCUGCUGCAUGGUGGGGGUUGGAAAGUUUCGGCGGUUGGGGAUGGACUCGCGGCUUAUCAGCUUGUUGGUGGGGUAGUGGCUUACCAAGGCUUUGACGGGUAGCCGGCCUGAGAGGGUGACCGGCCACAUUGGGACUGAGAUACGGCCCAGACUCCUACGGGAGGCAGCAGUGGGGAAUAUUGCACAAUGGGCGGAAGCCUGAUGCAGCAACGCCGCGUGCGGGAUGACGGCCUUCGGGUUGUAAACCGCUUUAGCCUGUGACGAAGCGGGAGUGACGGUAAUGGGUAAAGAAGCACCGGCUAACUACGUG
This 468-nucleotide ribosomal RNA is filed under the name uncultured bacterium. RNAcentral's name for it is "partial 16S ribosomal RNA". It matches the Rfam family "Bacterial small subunit ribosomal RNA", at positions 28 to 507 of the family's 1533-position model. The record is from RNAcentral.